This 67-nucleotide transfer RNA is filed under the name Rhyparobia grandis. RNAcentral describes it as "tRNA-Met". Lineage: Eukaryota; Metazoa; Arthropoda; Insecta; Blattodea; Blaberidae. The record is from RNAcentral.
AGAAAAGUAAGCUAAAUAAGCUAAUGGGUUCAUACCCCAUUUAUAGAGUUUCCCCCUCUCUCUUCUA